Long non-coding RNA from Sorghum bicolor (sorghum), 1786 nucleotides. RefSeq lists it as uncharacterized. The record is from RefSeq and is a predicted model, not a curated record. Lineage: Eukaryota; Viridiplantae; Streptophyta; Magnoliopsida; Poales; Poaceae. The transcript is spliced from 2 exons.
GAUUAAAAGUAUGAUCACAACCUUACAGCCCUCGCCUCGCGUCAUCUCUACACUCCGCCCUCACGCGUCGCCUCGCGUCAUCUCCAUAUCGGAAAAAACACUCCCCGUGAAAAACUCCAUAACUUCGUAUGGUAUCGCAGAAAACCGUUCCCGGCCGUGGAAGCCGUGGAGGACCGCGUCGCAGAAAACCGAUCCGGCCGUGGCGGACGAGGAGUUGGGCGCCCUGCGAGAAGUGCUGGCUUGACUGGGCCGUGUAGGAGCCACCGCCGGCGUCGGUUGCCCCGGGGUUCUGAUCUGGUCCUCACCUAGCCGGAGGAGAUGAAGGGCACCAGGGGCAGCCACCACAAGCAGCAGCAGAGGGCAUCAGGCACUCCUGAUACAGUAGGCGCUGCAGCAGCAGGUCCGGUGCUGCGGCGGACAUGACCUAGGUUGUCCGCCUGAUCCUCACCUCUCAAUUUACCGUGAAAUUUGCUCCUGCAGGAUGCUUGGUUCAGUAAACAUGAAUUUUUUAAUUGUUAUUGAUAAUUCCCACCCUUGAUUACUAAAGUGAAAUUAUCAGUGUUUUUCAAAGCAGGAUGCCAUGCCAUCUGCAUUUAGGGCCUGCAAAUGUCUUCAGAUGUCUCCUGUAACCCAUGCCUCUGUUAGGUCUGUGUUUAAAUUUUAUGAGAUUUUGGUACUAAAGUACUUUAGAGGACCAUCAUGUUCCAGUACUUGUGAUACCUAAUAAUAUGUACAAAUUUUAUAUGGUUUUUGUAAUAUUUCUUUUUAUGUAUUCCUUUUUCUCUCACCUUUGGAUUGGAUUUCUUAUAUCUGCACCUAAUGUCACCUCUAACAUGUUUGUUUACUCCGCAUUCUACUUUAUAGUGCAGGAAGCUCCUAAUUCCACCUGUAGCUUAUCUGGUUCCUCAAUGUACCAUUUUGUAGAGUUACUCCAAAUUAUGUCGCAGUGUAGAAAAAUUCCUUUCUUUGUUCAACAUUCCGCUGCUUGUGACUACACUUACUUCCUCAUACAUUUUAUCUGGUUUAUUCCAUGAUGCAGAUUCCAUUUGCUUUUAUUUCUCAUUAGUUUCCCUGAAUGCACUUUGUAGUUAUGCAUAUUUGUUUGUUGUUCAUGUAUUCUGCUCAUCUAAGUUUGGGGCAACACAGUAAAUUUUAAUUUCUUAUGUCAAUUAUUUUAUCGGCAGUUGAUGCCUUAGAAUAAGAAAAAAAUAAAGAAAUGAAAUAGUUGAGCUAUACACAGCUAGGGUAAUUUAAAGAUACAGGGUAUCAUGUAGAUAAUCUAAGCUUAUCUACUGACAGUUUAGUGUGGGUAAUUUAAAGAUACAGGGAUCAGUAGUUGUAGUGGCUCAGCGGUGAUUGUCUGAGCAGUUCAUCAGCAGCUGCAGGUGACAGGGAUAUUGCUUCAGAGCUUGCCAGGGACUGAAGUCUACUGCGAGAGAUUUGCGAGGGCUCUUGCCAAUUAGUUGUGUGCACCAUUAUUGGUUCUGGACAGCAGUCUUCUAGCACCAUAUGUAAUAUAUUCUUUCCCAUAUAUUAUAAGUCUUAAGAUCAGGAUAAAGGUUUAGAAUCAGAGGUCGAUGGAAGGUGACGAGGAACCUGCUAAAAGUGAGGAUGAUGGCAUAGUCCAAUCAGGUAAAUCUUCACACACACUGAGUUUAAACAGUGUUGUCCGAUCCCUGUCUCAUCUUCUCUUUUAUUUGUCUUAUAAGGAAUCUUUAAGAAAAUGUAUUGUUAAUCUUUAUCAAGAUGAAUGAUGGAAUAAGAUGCGUGCAAGAGAUGAAUAAAA